RNAcentral lists this long non-coding RNA (2204 nucleotides) under Equus caballus (horse). Its description in RNAcentral is "lncRNA (ENSECAG00000028747.2)". Lineage: Eukaryota; Metazoa; Chordata; Mammalia; Perissodactyla; Equidae. The record is from RNAcentral.
GACGAUUUUCAGAUUUAUGUUUUUAAUGAUAUUCUUCUAUAGAGUGUAUAUCCAAGAAUCCAUGCCCCAUAAGCUGGGUAAAUGAGGACAAGUCUGGCUCAGUCUAAGGGAGUUAUUACAGAUUCCGGGGCGGGUGAUUAGAAACUCUCCAGUUAGGCCCAAGCAACUAUUUCUGUUGUACCUACUGUGAAAAGGCCGGGUCAUAGCACCUCUUCGCGGAGUCUGCUAUAGACUCAUGAUUGAAAAUUGCUGACUUACACAGGGAUUCUGCACGGAAAGAAGGGUACACAGCUGGAGAUUGUUUAGAGACAAUUAAGACUUAUUGGCUUUUCAGCUGGUGAUAAAGGCAGAGAGCUCGGAGACUCUUGGCAUCUUGAAAUUGUUACCCAGUUACACUUUAAGUUGGCAACUGACUUGAUCCGCUGGUUAGCCAAAGCCCAAGGGGCCGCAACACCCAGGAAAUCAUGAAGAAUGAUGUUGACUGGCCCAUCUUAAAUCGCUUGCCACCUGGACCAAUCACUAUGGCCCCCAGAGCAGAACCAUUUGAGAAGAGGCAGCUCCCUGGUGGAGCAUCCCAUGUGAGAGUGGGGAGAAGGACCACGCUCUACAGGAGGGAGGGUGCAGCGCUCAUCAGAAGCAAGGGAGGUGAACAACCCCUUGAGGAAUCAAUGUCUCCUUCAAAUGUUCCCCCUUUUUUACUGGCCAGCUCCAUCUCCUUCUCGGGUUGCACCUCAGGGGCCCUAGAAGCUUUCCCCAUUCGCAGCCCAAGCAUUCUGAGAGCUUGGGAGGGUUUGGUGAGUGAAGGUGAAAGAAAGGACAUAGGGAGGACGAGCAGAGCAAACUAUAUUUACUUCACUUACAUGCUUCAGGUCAGUCAUGUUUUGGGGAUCCUUCUCUGUGGUAUUGGUGUGUGCAAAACAGGAACAUCUGUCCUUUAACGUUGCUGCUCAAAAGGGAAUCAGUUUAUCAGGGGUGAAUUGUGUCUGUCUGGGAUGAUUUCUUAAAUCUCUUCCAGCCCAGUGAUUCUGGUAAUUGUCCUUGUUCCUGAUGUCCCAGCAAUUGUGACAUUCAAGCUCAGUUCUAAAUUAGUCUCCUCUCUUUCUUCUCUCCCCUUCUAGAGGAAUGAAGAGGAGAAGGGGGAGAGAAAUGAAGCUUCUGUGUGUUUUCUUCCAUCUGAACACUGCCAAUGUGUAUCUCCAUGUGAUUUUAUUGAAAUUUUGAGCUUCAUGAUCCUGCCACCAGUGAAACUUUGUUAGCCUUGCUUGCUGUCUGUGGGUGGACUAGGCUUGUAUAAUUAUAACAGAUUAAAAAAGGGAGUUCUGAAUUUCACUUGCCAAGGUUUUGUUUGAUAAAUUAAUACACAAAUAAGACAUUUUUUACAUUUUACUUCUACUAAUACCUAUAGCAAGAUGAUAUCAGUGAAUAUUUUAUAAAAUUUUAGAGUGUUAGAGCUAUGUGGAACUUCAGAAAUCCUCUGAAUCUACUUUAUUUUUUAAAGAUGAGAAAGAUGCUGAGGCUGGUGACACACAAGAGUUAGUUGAAGAAGUAGGCAUCUUAGCUCUCUCCAAGCCAGGGACUUUUCUAGUUUAUAUUGAUGCUUCUUACAUCUUAAAUCAAGUGGGUAAUUAGAAAACUUACGUUUCACUACUUUAUUUAGAUUAAUCAGAGUGGAGGAGUGUAGAUCAGUGGGUUCCAAACUUAUGGUAGUAAAUGUAGAAAUAGUGUUAACAGAAGAGUUAGCCCCAGGGUUUUCUCUCUUGAAAUUACUUGAUUCCAAACCCACUUUUAAGUCUCUUUCUCUCCUUUCCUCCCUCUCUCUUCUCUUGCUCCCACUCUUCCUGCAACGUAAGAUCCUUUUAGGUGGUCAGGACGCAUCUUGGUAUCUGGUUGCCUGGAAUUAAACAUAUUUCCCCAAGAAAUGCAUUUGUGUUUUCAAGAAGAAUAUUGUUUAAUUUAGAAAGAAUAAAUAAAUUCACAUAGCAAGAUUUGUCAAUAAUGGAUGAAAAUCACAGAAGCUUGACAUGGAAACUUCUCUCAUUAUUCAUUUCAAAGCUGUAAUGGAUUUUUAGAAGAACAGAGCAUUUUUGUAGAAAGUUUUAUAGAUUGUAAAGCGCUUUCAUAUACAUAAAAUCUUAUUUGAUUAGGGUUGCCAGAUUUGACAACAACAACAAAAAAGAACACCUACUUAGAUUUGAAUUCCAGAU